Molecule: ribosomal RNA, 468 nt
Filed under: uncultured bacterium
Lineage: Bacteria
Description: partial 16S ribosomal RNA
Rfam family: Bacterial small subunit ribosomal RNA
Source: RNAcentral
GACGAACGCUGGCGGCGUGCUUAACACAUGCAAGUCGAACGGAAAGGCCCUGCUUUUGUGGGGUGCUCGAGUGGCGAACGGGUGAGUAACACGUGAGUAACCUGCCCUUGACUUUGGGAUAACUUCAGAAAACUGGGGCUCAUACCGGAUAGGAGCUCCUGCUGCAUGGUGGGGGUUGGAAAGUUUCGGCGGUUGGGGAUGGACUCGCGGCUUAUCAGCUUGUUGGUGGGGUAGUGGCUUACCAAGGCUUUGACGGGUAGCCGGCCUGAGAGGGUGACCGGCCACAUUGGGACUGAGAGACGGCCCAGACUCCUACGGGAGGCAGCAGUGGGGAAUAUUACACAAUGGGCGGAAGCCUGAUGCAGCAACGCCGCGUGCGGGAUGACGGCCUUCGGGUUGUAAACCGCUUUCGCCGGUGACGAAGCGUGAGUGACGGUAAUGGGUAAAGAAGCACCGGCUAACUACGUG